RNAcentral lists this ribosomal RNA (783 nucleotides) under uncultured Gammaproteobacteria bacterium. RNAcentral's name for it is "bacterial SSU rRNA". It matches the Rfam family "Bacterial small subunit ribosomal RNA", at positions 126 to 903 of the family's 1533-position model. Lineage: Bacteria; Pseudomonadati; Pseudomonadota; Gammaproteobacteria. The record is from RNAcentral.
CUGCCUUUAGGACUGGGAUAACUUGGGGAAACUCAAGCUAAUACCGGAUAAUAACUAAGGUUUAAAGUGGGGGACCUUCGGGCCUCACGUCUAAAGAGGAGCCUAUGUUGGAUUAGCUAGUUGGUGGGGUAAAGGCUCACCAAGGCAACGAUCCAUAGCUGUUCUGAGAGGAUGAUCAGCCACACUGGGACUGAGACACGGCCCAGACUCCUACGGGAGGCAGCAGUGGGGAAUAUUGGACAAUGGGGGCAACCCUGAUCCAGCAAUGCCGCGUGUGUGAAGAAGGCCUGCGGGUUGUAAAGCACUUUCAGUAGUGAGGAAGGCUGGGUAGUUAAUAGCUACUCAGAUUGACGUUAGCUACAGAAGAAGCACCGGCUAACUCUGUGCCAGCAGCCGCGGUAAUACAGAGGGUGCGAGCGUUAAUCGGAAUUACUGGGCGUAAAGAGUAUGUAGGUUGUAAAGUAAGUUAGGUGUGAAAUACCCGGGCUCAACCUGGGAACUGCGCUUGAUACUGCUUUACUAGAGUAUUAGAGAGGAUAGUGGAAUUUCCGGUGUAGUGGUGAAAUACGUAGAUAUCGGAAGGAACAUCAGUGGCGAAGGCGGCUAUCUGGAUAAAUACUGACACUGAGAUACGAAAGCGUGGGUAGCAAACAGGAUUAGAUACCCUGGUAGUCCACGCCGUAAACGAUGAGAACUUGCUGUUACGAUGCCAUGAGCAUUUAGUAGCGGAGCUAACGCGUUAAGUUCUCCGCCUGGGGAGUACGGCCGCAAGGUUAAAACUCA